RNAcentral lists this ribosomal RNA (1659 nucleotides) under Triticum aestivum (bread wheat). RNAcentral's name for it is "partial small subunit ribosomal RNA". Lineage: Eukaryota; Viridiplantae; Streptophyta; Magnoliopsida; Poales; Poaceae. The record is from RNAcentral.
AUGAAGAGAGUGUCAUCGCAUGUCUCCAUUGCCUCAGAGGCAGAGAUCAAUCUUGACCUCUCACGGUUACUAAUUGACAAGCCAAGGUUCACACUGGAGCGCAAGAGGUCAUUUGAUGAACAGUCAUGGAGUGACCUCUCGCAUCGGCACAAUGACGGCUUUGAUAGUGUGGCGCAUUCGCCUGCAUUCCGCACCGGUUUUGAGUCACCAUUCUCAACGGGCUCACACUUCGGUGAGCCAAGUGGACCACACCCCCUUGUGAAUGAGGCAUGGGAGGCACUCAGGAAAUCUGUUGUGUAUUUUCGUGGCCAACCUGUGGGUACCGUUGCUGCGGUAGAUCACGCAUCAGAGGAGGUGCUCAAUUAUGAUCAGGUUUUUGUGCGGGAUUUUGUUCCUAGUGCAUUGGCUUUCCUAAUGAACAACGAACCUGAAAUAGUGAAGAACUUCCUCUUGAGAACUGUCCACUUGCAAAGCUCGGAAAAAAUGGUAGACCGGUUCAAGCUUGGAGCAGGAGCAAUGCCUGCAAGUUUCAAGGUGGACCGUAAUGUGAACAGGAACACUGAAACAUUAGUUGCAGAUUUUGGUGAGAGCGCAAUUGGCAGGGUGGCACCAGUGGACUCUGGAUUUUGGUGGAUUAUUCUCCUCCGGGCGUAUACAAAAUAUACUGGAGAUGCUAGUUUAUCAGAAUCACCUGAUUGUCAGAAGUGCAUGCGGCUUAUACUGAAUCUUUGCUUAUCUGAGGGAUUCGAUACUUUCCCAACUCUGCUCUGCACUGAUGGUUGCUCAAUGAUUGAUCGUCGAAUGGGUAUAUACGGUUAUCCUAUUGAGAUCCAAGCUCUCUUCUACAUGGCAUUAAGAUGUGCCCUCCAAAUGCUUAAGCCGGAUGGUGAAGGGAAGGACUUCAUAGAGAAGAUAGGGCAACGACUGCAUGCAUUAACCUACCACAUGAGAAAUUACUUCUGGCUUGAUUUUCCACAUCUAAAUAACAUAUAUAGAUACAAAACAGAAGAAUACUCCCACACCGCUGUGAACAAAUUCAAUGUCAUUCCGGAUUCAAUCCCUGAUUGGGUGUUUGAUUUCAUGCCUUGUCGGGGAGGCUACUUCCUUGGCAACGUCAGCCCUGCUAUGAUGGACUUCAGGUGGUUUGCUCUUGGAAACUGUAUUGCCAUUAUAUCAUCUCUAGCUACUCCGGAGCAGUCAUCGGCAAUAAUGGAUCUCAUCGAGGAGAGAUGGGAUGAGCUAGUGGGCGAGGUGCCUCUGAAGAUAGUAUAUCCUGCACUUGAGAACCAUGAAUGGAGAAUAAUUACUGGCUGCGACCCCAAGAAUACUAGGUGGAGUUAUCAUAAUGGAGGAUCUUGGCCAGUUCUUCUAUGGCUGCUGACAGCAGCCUGCAUCAAGACUGGGCGGCCACAAAUGGCGAAGCGUGCCAUCGAGCUCUCCGAGGCAAGGCUCCUCAAGGACGGCUGGCCCGAGUACUACGACGGCAAGCUGGGGAAGUUCGUCGGCAAGCAGGCCAGGAAGUUCCAGACAUGGUCCAUCGCUGGCUACCUAGUCGCGAGGAUGAUGCUGGAGGACCCAUCCACGCUCAUGAUGAUCUCCAUGGAGGAGGACCGGCCUGUGAAGCCGACAAUGAGGCGGUCGGCGUCAUGGAAUGCUUGA